ACGGGAAAACAAAAGACGUUUCCAUUCCGGGCGCAGCUCUGGAAGCAGUCGCAGGCGGGAGGUGUUGACAAAUCGUGUGCACGGGGUUACGUUCCCGUUCUACUCGAGCGCCAGCUCUGCCAUCGGGUAGGAUCGGUGAUCCCGGGCCGUGCACAUCGUACAGGUGAGCUGAAGAAAAUUGUGGCACUGGAAUUGCAAAGAUGCAGCUGGAUCCCAAAACCCUGCUGAGCACAGGAACAUUGAUGGAAACUGAAAAGUGGAGACUGAAAAAUGGCAUGACAGAGGAGGCAAGGAUUUAUGAAUAUCUCCCAGGAGGGCCAAGGUCUAAAUGUAACAGCCAGAGGCAAGCCACAAACAUUGGAAGAGAAGAGCUGGCAUGGAGCACCAACCUUGCCAGUGUUAGGGAAAAAAAAGGAAAAAGGGAAAAAAGGAAAAGGGAGAAAAGGAAAAAAGCCUGCAUUGGACCUGCUUUUUGAAUUUGAGACCAUCCCAGAAAACAGAG
Non-coding RNA from Lonchura striata (white-rumped munia), 502 nucleotides. The record is from RefSeq and is a predicted model, not a curated record. NCBI's taxonomy places the organism in Eukaryota, Metazoa, Chordata, Aves, Passeriformes, Estrildidae.